RNAcentral lists this ribosomal RNA (407 nucleotides) under uncultured eukaryote. Its description in RNAcentral is "partial 18S ribosomal RNA". It matches the Rfam family "Eukaryotic small subunit ribosomal RNA", at positions 592 to 976 of the family's 1831-position model. The record is from RNAcentral.
CAAUAGCGUAUAUUAAUGUUGUUGCAGUUAAAAAGCUCGUAGUUGGAUUUCGAAUGGGAGCGGUGGGUCGGGUCCGCAAGGGCUCGUUACCUGUUUCGUCUCCGGUUCUUUUUCGGAAUUGUUUCUGGCGUGGCUGGUAUUGAGUUGUCGGUGGCGUCGGGCCCGUCGUUUACUGUGAACAAAUUAGAGUGUUCAAAGCAAGGUGUGUCUUGAAUACAUUAGCAUGGAAUAAUGAGAUAGGACUUUGGUGGUUUCGGUGAAAGCCGGAUAUUUUGUUGGUUUGCACGCCAAAGUAAUGAUUAAUAGGAGCAGUUGGGGGUAUUCGUAUUCAAUUGUCAGAGGUGAAAUUCUUGGAUUUCUAGAAGACGAACUACUGCGAAAGCAUUUACCAGGGAUGUUUUCAUUAA